UUGAAUUCCAAACGUAAAGGACUUUGUCUUUGCUGUGCGCCUUUUUACCGGCUGCACGCCUGGUCCGAUACACUUACACCUGUGCACCUUUGACCCGCAUAUAGUCGGGUCCUUACACACACUUAUAAAUCUUAGAAUGUCUUAUAUAUAUAUAUAUAUAUGA
This 163-nucleotide unclassified non-coding RNA is filed under the name uncultured Hymenochaetales. RNAcentral describes it as "sequence contains ITS1". The record is from RNAcentral. Lineage: Eukaryota; Fungi; Basidiomycota; Agaricomycetes; Hymenochaetales.